GAUGAACGCUGGCGGCGUGCUUAACACAUGCAAGUCGAACGAAGCACUUAUCUUUGAAUCUUCGGAUGAAGAGGUUUGUGACUGAGUGGCGGACGGGUGAGUAACGCGUGGGUAACCUGCCUCAUACAGGGGGAUAACAGUUAGAAAUGACUGCUAAUACCGCAUAAGACCACGGAGCCGCAUGGCUCAGUGGGAAAAACUCCGGUGGUAUGAGAUGGACCCGCGUCUGAUUAGGUAGUUGGUGGGGUAACGGCCUACCAAGCCAACGAUCAGUAGCCGACCUGAGGGUGACCGGCCACAUUGGGACUGAGACACGGCCCAAACUCCUACGGGAGGCAGCAGUGGGGAAUAUUGCACAAUGGGGGAAACCCUGAUGCAGCGACGUCGCGUGAGCGAAGAAGUAUUUCGGUAUGUAAAGCUCUAUCAGCAGGGAAGAAAAUGACGGUACCUGACUAAGAAGCACCGGCUAAAUACGUGCCAGCAGCCGCCGUAA
This 493-nucleotide ribosomal RNA is filed under the name uncultured bacterium. Its description in RNAcentral is "partial 16S ribosomal RNA". It matches the Rfam family "Bacterial small subunit ribosomal RNA", at positions 28 to 523 of the family's 1533-position model. The record is from RNAcentral.